Molecule: ribosomal RNA, 233 nt
Filed under: uncultured bacterium
Lineage: Bacteria
Description: partial 16S ribosomal RNA
Rfam family: Bacterial small subunit ribosomal RNA
Source: RNAcentral
GUUCCUGGCUCAGGAUGAACGCUAGCGACAGGCCUAACACAUGCAAGUCGAGGGGCAACAUGGUAUCAGCUUGCUGAUACCGAUGGCGACCGGCGCACGGGUGAGUAACGCGUAUGUAAUCUACCUGUAACAGAGGGAUAACCCGGAGAAAUCCGGACUAAUACCUCAUAGCACAUAUUAUUCGCAUGAAUUUUAUGUUAAAGAGACUCGGUUACAGAUGAACAUGCGUUCCA